Molecule: small RNA, 1091 nt
Filed under: Pongo abelii (Sumatran orangutan)
Lineage: Eukaryota; Metazoa; Chordata; Mammalia; Primates; Hominidae
Description: retained intron
Source: RNAcentral
UUAAUGCCACCGGGCACCUUUCAGACACACUUUGGCUGAUCCCCAUCACAUUCCUGACCAUCGGCUAUGGUGACGUGGUGCCGGGCACCAUGUGGGGCAAGAUCGUCUGCCUGUGCACUGGAGUCAUGGGGGUCUGCUGCACAGCCCUGCUGGUGGCCGUGGUGGCCCGGAAGCUGGAGUUUAAUAAGGCAGAGAAGCACGUGCACAACUUCAUGAUGGAUAUCCAGUAUACCAAAGAGAUGAAGGAGUCCGCUGCCCGAGUGCUACAAGAAGCCUGGAUGUUCUACAAACAUACUCGCAGGAAGGAGUCUCAUGCUGCCCGCAGGCAUCAGCGCAAGCUGCUGGCCGCCAUCAACGCGUGAGGGCCGCUUUGUAUGCACACGUGUCCAUGUGCACCCAUGUCCAAGUCACCUCUCUGCACGGCUGUGUGUGUGCGUGUCCAUGCCUGUCUGGGUCAGGACACCCAGGUGUGGUCUCACUCAACAGCUUGUCCACCUGGAUCUGACCAUGCAUGGCUCUAUGUGUCUGUGCUGGUUUGUCUUUGCAUAUCUCGGCGUGUCUGUGGACCUGGGUACCUGGGUUUCUACUGGGGAUGGGGACUUGUGGGGAGGCAGGGUGCAUCCUCUCCCACUCUUUCAGCUCUUUGACAACUUUUUUUCUUUGUUUCGUUUCUUCAUGUGCCUCUCCUCCCUUCAUUCCACCCCUGAGCUACAGCUACAUUCAGGGACCAGGCUUGUAAAACUGACUCCCCACUUCUUCCCACAGGUUCCGCCAGGUGCGGCUGAAACACCGGAAGCUCCGGGAACAAGUGAACUCCAUGGUAGACAUCUCCAAGAUGCACAUGAUCCUGUAUGACCUGCAGCAGAAUCUGAGCAGCUCACACCGGGCCCUGGAGAAACAGAUUGACACGCUGGCGGGGAAGCUGGAUGCCCUGACGGAGCUGCUUAGCACUGCCCUGGGGCCGAGGCAGAUUCCAGAACCCAGCCAGCAGUCCACAUAGCUGGUGAGGGGGCUGGGACUUGGGCAGGAAGGCAUCCUGGAGGCAGGGUUCCUGUGGCCGGCACCCUAUUUGGCUAAGGGGGUGGGGGAUG